GAUGAACGCUGGCGGCGUGCCUAACACAUGCAAGUCGAGCGAACGGACCAGAAGCUUGCUCUUCUGAUGUUAGCGGCGGACGGGUGAGUAACACGUGGAUAACCUACCUAUAAGACUGGGAUAACUUCGGGAAACCGGAGCUAAUACCGAAUAAUAUUUUGAACCGCAUGGUUCAAAAGCGAAAGACGGUCUUGCUGUCAGUAAUAGAUGGAUCCGCCCUGCAUUAGCUAGUGGGUAAGGUAACGGCUUACCAAGGCAACGAUGCAUAGCCGACCUGAGAGGGUGAUCGGCCACCUUGGAACUGAGACACGGUCCAGACUCCUACGGGAGGAAGCAGUAGGGAAUCUUCCGCGAAGGGCGAGAGCCUGACGGAGCAACGCCGCGUGAGGGAUGAAGGUCUUCGGAUCGUAAAACUCUGUUAUUAGGGAAGAACAUAUGUGUAAGUAACUGUGCACAUCUUGACGGUACCUAAUCAGAAAGCCACGGCUAACUACGUG
This 497-nucleotide ribosomal RNA is filed under the name uncultured bacterium. RNAcentral's name for it is "partial 16S ribosomal RNA". It matches the Rfam family "Bacterial small subunit ribosomal RNA", at positions 28 to 507 of the family's 1533-position model. The record is from RNAcentral.